This 495-nucleotide ribosomal RNA is filed under the name uncultured bacterium. RNAcentral's name for it is "partial 16S ribosomal RNA". It matches the Rfam family "Bacterial small subunit ribosomal RNA", at positions 30 to 507 of the family's 1533-position model. The record is from RNAcentral.
UGACCGCUGGCGGCGUGCCUAAUACAUGCACGUCGAGCGAACAGACGAGGAGCUUACUCCUCUGACGUUAGCGGCGGACGGGUGAGUAACACGUGGAUAACCUACCUAUAAGACUGGGAUAACUUCGGGAAACCGGAGCUAAUACCGGAUAACAUGUUGAACCGCAUGGUUCAACAGUGAAAGACGGUCUUGCUGUCACUUAUAGAUGGAUCCGCGUCGCAUUAGCUAGUUGGUAAGGUAACGGCUUACCAAGGCAACGAUGCGUAGCCGACCUGAGAGGGUGAUCGGCCACACUGGAACUGAGACACGGUCCAGACUCCUACGGGAGGCAGCAGUAGGGAAUCUUCCGCAAUGGGCGAAAGCCUGACGGAGCAACGCCGCGUGAGUGAAGAAGGUCUUCGGAUCGUAAAACUCUGUUAUUAGGGAAGAACAAAUGUGUAAGUAACUAUGCACGUCUUGACGGUACCUAAUCAGAAAGCCACGGCUAACUACGUG